UGGUUAAGAAAGAUGGUGAGGUCG
RNAcentral lists this non-coding RNA (24 nucleotides) under Arabidopsis thaliana (thale cress). Lineage: Eukaryota; Viridiplantae; Streptophyta; Magnoliopsida; Brassicales; Brassicaceae. The record is from RNAcentral.